RNAcentral lists this transfer RNA (72 nucleotides) under Stegodyphus mimosarum. It matches the Rfam family "tRNA". From Rfam's summary of the family: Transfer RNA (tRNA) molecules are approximately 80 nucleotides in length. Their secondary structure includes four short double-helical elements and three loops (D, anti-codon, and T loops). The record is from Rfam by way of RNAcentral. Lineage: Eukaryota; Metazoa; Arthropoda; Arachnida; Araneae; Eresidae.
GCCUUCGUGGUGUAGUGGUCAGCAUGCUCGACGCGUAUUCGAGAGGUCCAGGUUCGAGUCCCGGUGAGGGAU